Molecule: microRNA precursor, 82 nt
Filed under: Pristionchus pacificus
Lineage: Eukaryota; Metazoa; Nematoda; Chromadorea; Rhabditida; Neodiplogasteridae
Description: mir-1 microRNA precursor family
Rfam family: mir-1 microRNA precursor family
About the family: This family represents the microRNA (miRNA) mir-1 family. miRNAs are transcribed as ~70nt precursors (modelled here) and subsequently processed by the Dicer enzyme to give a ~22nt product. In this case the mature sequence comes from the 3' arm of the precursor. The extents of the hairpin precursors are not generally known and are estimated based on hairpin prediction.
Source: Rfam by way of RNAcentral
UUCACCGUUCCGUACUUCUUUGCAGCCCCAUACUUGCCCGCAUGAAGUGGUUAUGGAAUGUAAAGAAGUAUGUAAUGGUCGA